Non-coding RNA from Pelobates cultripes (western spadefoot toad), 1152 nucleotides. NCBI's taxonomy places the organism in Eukaryota, Metazoa, Chordata, Amphibia, Anura, Pelobatidae. The record is from the annotation of a GenBank genome assembly.
GAAUUAUUAACUGGAAUACCAAUGAUUUACUGGUCAAUGUCAGCCAGCGGUCACUUGUACACCCAAGUGGAUGACAUUGGUAACGAUUGUAUUAGAAAGGUCUCCUCCAUAGUCCAACAUUGGAUGACAGCGGAAUGGAUCUGCAGAGCUUACAAGUCACAGUGGUUUUGAAUUCCAGGUUUAGCUCUGAUAUCUGAACAUUUCAUUGCAAAGUUUAUAAUCAGCACUUACAUAAAUACUUAAGCUAAUUAAACAUCCUCUUUUAACCAUUUGUAUCAGGACUGGGUAAUAUGUAAAUCUAUCUUGGCACUUUUCAAAAUAAAUAGAAAUAAAGAAUUCCGGACCAUUAGAAGCAGAGAUCAUUCCAAGCUUUUAAAUAAGAUCCUAAUCAUGGAUCCCUAGUGUCAUUUUUCAUUUACUUUAUUGAUUUUAGAAGGGUCAAUAGAGAAGAUGUAGGUGGAGAAAUAGUGUAGUCAAAAAGGUUUGAAAAUGUUUUGCCAUAUUUUAGCUCAACUUUUUAUUGCAAACAUACUUGUGAACAUAGCGAUAAUUGUGUUAUCUAUGAACUGUUUAUGUUAAGAGCUAACAAAAUGCUGCCUAUUCACAUUUUUAGAAAUGUGAAUUAUACCCAAUCAUUAAAAGCAUGGAAAGCACAACACUAUCUGCCCUUAAACACAGAUAUGAUUUACAUCAUUUUAUGUAGAUAAGGAUAUGAUUCCUCUGCACGUGUAUCUGGAUUGUAUCUGCAUUCUUCCAAUUCGGCUUUGGUACACACACUUUAAUGAUCAACUACUUAAAGUGUGUAGGGGGGAAAGGCGGCCUUUCAUUAUCCACAGCAUUUUCUUUAAAAAUAUAUAUAUUGCAAAUCAUGUAGCCUGAUUUAAUAAGGAAAACUAAAAACCUAGUCAAAUUAAAUGAAUAGUUUAUAUUUUAAAUGUAUACCUGACAUAUUCUUUAUUUACCUUGAAAGCACCAGCAUAUAAUUCUAGGCAUAACUGCAUUUGACUCUUUUCAUUUACCACUAAAUUUGUACAAAACCUUCCAUUCAAUUUCCAAAUGUGUUAACACUGAUUCUGCCAGAAUUUAAGGAUUAGUGGCAAUAUAACAAAGUAUAUAAUUGACAAAUAAUAUCAAUUAAACAUUAUCAUUAUG